UAUUACACACAUGAAUCUCUAUUAGCGAUGUAUUUUCCAAUUCUAAAUUAAUUCCAACACUCCCCUUUAAUUUAGAGUUUGACUCCAUAGUUUGGGCACAUGACUCUUCACAUGUAUUGGGAAAAACCUUGAGCUCCUUCAUCGCUUCCUACUGGGUUGUGAUCUCUUGAUAUUUUUCAGCAGGACCCUAUUUUGCAGCCUAUGGUCGUGUCCCCUCAAAACGGUCCCUAACUGUUCUUUCAACAGACCAACCAGUUUCGUAAUCUCGGACAAUAAUCUCCUUCCAACACCUACUCGAGCACAGACCAGCCGUCUCACUAUUCAUAGGCCUCCGCUGUGAUUUCACCUAUGUCUUGGAACAACCUUCUGAUUGCCUCACUGUAACUGGUUUAGACCUUCAAUCGACCAACUCUAGACCCUCAAUGGAUUGGACCAUAUAUUGAUUCUUGAUAGAACUACCCAAUGUACCAAUCUUGAUCGUUCAUCUUGUCAGUCCCAAAACGACCUUAACCGACUGAGGUAAUCCGAACAGAAACAAAACUAAGCAACCACGAUUUAUCACAAUUGACAUUCUCGGCAGCUCUGCCUAGGUAGCUUCACCCAACAAGAAGUAGUCCAAAUUCCUCCAGGAUGGCUUACACUUGUUGCUAUUCACUUCUCCGGGUAGCCCUCUCCUAAGUAGCCCUUUCCAUGACUCGAACAGCCAACUUGAACCCAUAAACAUUCAUGAGUUAACCUAAUCUUAUGGUUGCCAAACUGCUUUUGUUAUCCCAAAGGCUCAUCCCCACUCUAACAAAAUCAUUUGAUUGUUGCCAACAACACAUUCAUAUCUUUGACAAUCAGCUAUCUCAUAGCUCUAGAUUGUCAAGCCCAUAGAAACCCAAUUUUUGAGAGAAAUAGUAAAAUGAAACAUUUAGGCUAAAUCACAUAACCCCGCCCCUAGUACAUCCUCGGUCACUCAUCGAAGAAAUGAAGGAACCCAUAGAGAAAUCGCAAAGGAUGAACAAAACAAGCCACAAACCCGAGCCCCGAAACAAAACCUGUUUCAUCGCUCCACCGUGUCAAGAGCCGACCAUCCUUGCAUCCCUAUGAACCAUGUGAAACCCACAUGAAACCUUCUCCCUACAUUUUCCCCCUCACACUCUCCCUCUGUCCCUCUCUUCAUGUGUGUGUUAAAGCAUGGCCUUUAACACACGCAUGAAGAGCACUUCCAAAUUAUUUCAGUGUUACCCUAGUGUGAACCUUGGAGUUCCCCAAGUACAGCUCUUGCCCAUUAAGAACAUUCUUCAAAAUCUUCUUUGACCAACUCAUGCAACAUUAAAGUCACUAAAGACUUCAAUGGUCCAGCACCUCUUUCGAGCUACCACCAAGUAAUUCCAAUGCAAGUCCUUCAUGUUUCCCCAAAAAAAAUGUGAACCAUACUUGAAUUUUAACCAAUCCCAACAAUCUCCACCUUGGUGAAAAUUCCACAGGAACCAUUGUACUCCACCAAGGGUUGUAAACCAUGGGCCUUCGCAAUCAAAUCACUAGCUACACAAAACCGAAUCAGCAAACUUAUCCUGUCUCAACCUGAUUCUCGAAAUUCGGCCAUCACAUGUGUAUAUAAAACACGAGCUAAAAAUCACUGUUAACUCCAGAAUAGGGCGUCAAUUACCCAUCCUCCGCCAGCAAGAUUUUUCCUCACAUCUGUCUAUGCCCUAUUAUAAUUUGCAUGCAUCCAUGGAGAUCAUCCGACGACGACGAGAGACUAUUUUCAAGGCUUUACCUGGGACUUGUUACACCCCCACCCA
Rhododendron vialii is the source of this 1790-nucleotide long non-coding RNA. RefSeq lists it as uncharacterized. The transcript has 2 exons. The record is from RefSeq and is a predicted model, not a curated record. NCBI's taxonomy places the organism in Eukaryota, Viridiplantae, Streptophyta, Magnoliopsida, Ericales, Ericaceae.